CCAGUACUCUGGAAUGUUCUGAGGCCCUGAAGUGUGUGUUGGCCGCCUAGUUUCCUCCUGAGCCAUGGGAGCAACCUGGCAGCUGCAAGGAAAUUUAAGCCAGGGUGGAAACCGAGGGGUGUGCCCAGCUCUGCCUGAUCUAAACUUUGCUUCUCAGGAUCAACAACCCAGGAGUUGGGGAUCCCUUCCCUGGGUGGCCACAGUCUUGCCAAGGCACCCAACCUCAAAGUGGAGCCCCUGCAGCUAUUGCUGUGAUGCCAGCACCAUUCUUUCAGACUAAGUGGGCUCCUACCUGAGAUCAACUAAACCAAACAAGAUUAAAACCCUGCAGUGUGGUGGCAAUGCUCAGCCAGGGUGGGGGAAGCUCACUCACGGGCCCUCAGUUAAUAAAAUGCAGCCCCACUCUCCCUCUUGGGUCCUCCACAUUCAGCGCUGUGUCAGAGUCAUCCAAGAACUCACGCUAGAAGAAGCAGCCACACACCUGCCAGGCAGGCAGGAGCAGCCUAGGAAUGCUCUCCUGUGUGUCUAGACAUUCCAGGCCAACCACAACCUGCCUGAGUGACUGACAAGCCCACCAGAGCAAGGGUGUGCCCCGUGAGAGCUGCAAUGGGGAAUGCCGCUAGUGGGCAUGAGCUGGGACAGGACCUUGCUGUGCAUGACUGGUGUGUGGGUGGGCACUGUGGGAAGAGACUAACUCCUUACUGGCUUUGCUUGGCCGGACAGUUAAAGGGCAUUGGGGCCCAAUUCCAUCGGCUGAUGGCACUUCCGAGGCUGCUCACAGUAUAACCCUGGUAUUUCUGCUCUGUCAGGGGAGUCGUGCUUGACCCCAAGGCCAAAUGAGCAGCUCCAGGAAGAUGCCACUUUUGUGAGGACAUCAGAUGAUGAUGGAGCGUGGCAAGUGCUCAGCUGUGUGGCCCAGACUCUGUGACUUCAGGUCUAUGAGGAACACCCCAAGGCAUCUGCUGGAUGUGCUGUCAGAGGGUUUCUGGAAGACAGAUGGCCAAACGGAAGUUUGGGACGAGGCGCAAUGGCGUGGGUGCAGAUCCUAACGACGCCUCCUUCUCUGAGCCUCCAUUUCCUCCCCCUGCGAAGCAGAAAGGGCAGCAGGCGUUCGUCAGAGAGAGCUGUGGAGACGGAGAGCUGGGGCUGGGCAGGAGGGCCACUGUCUGUACACUGCAAGCCCAGGCCACGUCGGACCUGAAAGCCAGAGUCCACACUGCCCAUCUGGAACUGGACCCUGAAGGGCAAAGCAGAGGGGACAGGAGGAGCGAGGUGGUCCCUGAUCGGCCUACGCAGGUCAGUAGAAAUGCUAACUCUUACCCACAGCUGGACGGAUCCUGACCCUGGAGCCACAAAAGGGUAAAUGUCCACUGGCUGUUGCUUGUGAUUCCACACAAGUCCAUCUGUUCAAGUCCAUGCAGGAGCAUAAGCAUUCAGCCUCCUCCGGAGAUGGAGUCCUCCCAGGGGUGCUUAAGGUGAAACAAAGCCAUCCGUUCGGACCUGAGCCAUCAGGACUGUGUCCUCACGACACACAGAGGGAAGACCGAUAAGGCCGCACCUGCAAGUGAAGGAGGGCUGCACCCAGCCCUGUGAAGCGUGGCCUGGGACUUACGGACACAGGGUUCGUGAGACAGGGAACCUGGUUGGAGCCCUCAGUCGGUGUGCCUCGGUCUGCAGCCUCGAGACAUUUGCACAAGACUCCCGUGGUGCUAGUCUCUAAAGUGUUCUUUCCCUCGCUCCCACGCUGGUGGAGUGGGCUGAGACAGGUGGGCUUCAUAGUCUGCAUGGCAAAGGCCUCUGAAGUCCCACGGGUUCCCUCAUGGGUGGGCGCGGGGGCUGGGAUUUCCGGCCUACCCACCGCCUGGCUUUGUGGCCAUUUGUGCCGCAGCCUAGGAAUUCAUCUGCCACCUCAGUAAGGUAAUGCUAAGUGCCCAGAGCCUGGCUCCUGACGACGCUGGGACAUCUGUCCUCUCACUUUCUGUGGAGUUCACGUUGAUUUCUGUCUAAUGUGUUUCCACCCCAGGGUACCCUGCAAGGUCCCGGCAGUCAGUGAUAACCAAUGGCGGACCGGGCAACAGCAUGGCAUGGCUGAAAUUGGUGACUUUGUAUGCAAGGCCAUCACUGGUCCCUUGAGGCACCCAGUGGCCAAGCCAUCUGAGUGUCCCCUUGAGAUGUAGAGUUUCUUAGAAGUCACAAUCGCCCCAUCUCGAGCCCAUAUGCCCUGGACCCCAGCUGAAGUGACUUGUGGUAUACAGGAGAGAAGGUAAGAGACGGUAAGAAGAGGCUGGAAGGACUCUUCUUGGCAACUUCUCAGUAACUGGCAUGUUGCUUCAACUUAGAUCUUAACAGAUCAGACUUCCUCAGGUGGGUUCCCCAGGAAACUCCAGUGGUCACGCUGGAGGAGAUGCAGCUGCUGAUGGGAUUUUCCCUGCAUGCACUGCUUGGCUGGGCAGUACAACUUGAACUCCCUCUCAAGGCCUCUAAAUGCAGAAAAGAAUUUACUUUCAUCAACCAGGGAUGGCUUCAUUACCAGUGUGAGGUCUAGUAAAUUGCACAGCUUUGGCACUGAUAAAACACCUUAAUUCUAGUUGACCUCAUUUCCAACUUGAGGUGGGGUCAGUGGGCUCCGCUCCGGAAAAGAAGCAAACGGGUUUUGACAGUGACAUCUUGUUGUGAUGAGGGCGCUGAGCGGACAUAGGAGUGGGCUGUCUCUUUGUGUCUACCUCCAUUGCCCACAUCACCCAUCUGGGCUUUGGGUCGGCCCCUUCCUGCUAGACUUCUGCCGUCUGGAUGAGCCAACAGGGCAGAGGGGAGGCCAUUGCUCAUCCCAGCUCCCUGCCCUGCCCUUGGGGUUCAAGCAGACCAGAAACCAGUAGACCAGGUGUAUGGCCCUGCAACCUUCUAUUUGCUCUGAGCUGCCUGCUUUGUGCACACAGAACUUGGCUUAGCAUGGGUCCUCAAAGGGCAGGCCUGAGCCUGGACAGGAAUAAAGGAAGUUGUUUUUGGAGUCCAUCCCAGGAAUCCAAUCGAUCCCCAGUGGGGCCAUGGAGAUGGAAGGACAAAGAAACUUCGAGAACAGCUGACUUUUGUGUGCAACAGUGUCUGCCCUCUGGGGCCCAAGGUAGAGCAGAGCUCUGUAUUAGAGCCCUCAGUGAUGCCAGGCAGCCAUGAGCAGCUCCUAGUCCUGUUGGCUGACUUUUGCUCUUGAAGUCUCAGACGGGCCGAGUACAGAUUGCUGUCAAGCAGAGACGUAUGGGCCCAGAUCAAAUAGAAACCACUUUCCUUCACCUCGUUAACAACAACCGGGCCCCUCUGCACUGCUCUGGAUCUGCCUGAGCUGAGUAAACUUGCCCAGGGCUGAUGGGGCAAUAGGGGGCAGAAGGCAGGCCACAAAGCAUGGGGCAGGCUGGAAGCAAAGAAGUUUCUCUGGUCAGGUCAGCAUAGUCACCCUCCCUCAGCCAAAACAGUAGCUAGAGUGUCAUGCUUUGCCAUGAGGUCUGGUCAUCAAGGAGGAGGGACAUUUGACCUAGUUCUCUGGAGCUAUCGUUAUUCUAGUGUCCUGGGGGAUGGGACUCUCCAUUGCAGUCACUUUCCUGGAUCGUAUUUUGAUAUGGAGUUUAAGUACACAGUGCUGACCCUCGCCCUCUAUGCAGCUUUGUCUCAUCCAACAUGAUGAUCUCACUCUUUCCUGCUGGUUUCCAAUUAAACUGACUCACCCUGACCUCUCCACGGGCGGCCCCAGCAGUUGGGUGCUCUAUCCAGCGUAAAUGGAGCAUGCGAGCACACAGGCAGACUCGCUGAGCUCACUGUAUGCAUAGGUGCACGUCUGUGGACCUCGUGCCUUGCAAGUACAGGUAUACCCAUGGCAAACACACAUUCAUGACCACUGACCUAGGAGCACAAAGCACAUACAUGAUCCUGUGUACAUGUAAAUGUACACAUGUGCACACGUGAGCAUGCACAUUUCAUGGGUGCAUGCAGAAAAAUACACAAGCGUGCACAGAGGUUCAUCUGUGCAGUGAGUAUGUACUAACUCACCGUCCAUUAGACAGUGGUCUUGGGAGCCCAUUAAACCGCACUCCAGAUACUGAAGCACAAUGGUGACCACAAUGGUGUCAUUGUGGAUCGACCUCCUCAGAGAUCCCCAACCCCCACCCCGAAGCACCUUGUUGGCUUUUUCGAACCGAGGAUCCAAGGUUUCCCCAUGAAAGGAGUCUCCCAGAGUUGGCGAUGCCUUCCACAUCCCGUCCAGCACUGGCUUCCCUUGAGCAGGCUGCUGGGAACAGGGCAUCUUCUUGUGCUGGUGGAGGUACUUGGGGAAGUCAUGACCACUGAGAGUACUGUGCUUAUCCUGCUGGGGACUUGUCUCCCCAGUGUCCCAGCCUCCACCCUAGCCCAUGGCAUCCAGCUGAGUCUCUUUCUCUCUCCCAUUACUCCAUCAAAGCAUUUGUGGUUUGGUGGCUUUGGCAUGGGCUGUCUCAUCAGGGUCCCUCCCCCUACAGGACAUAGGGUGGACUUAUCUGGGCAGAGAGUAGCAGGGGACAUCAGCCCAGGGGGCUGAGAGACCACAAAUAAAAUGAAGGAGAGCACAUUGAGGCUGCAUGUUGCCAAAGCACCCUGAACAAAAUGGCAAACACUUUCUGAGUGUCUGUGCUUUGCCUCACCCGCCUAGGAGUGUGCGGCUGUGCAUGGGGCCCACAAGGAAAGCCAGAUUGUCCCAGUCUCCCCCAGAGGUGACACUGGAACCCACACCCUGGAAGGGCAGGUUGCUCACCUUAGUCAAGAAGCUCUUUGAAGCCUCCUCCUCCUGAUUCCAGCUCCCUGUGUUCCCGUGUGAGCCAUGGACACAGCGUGCAGCUGUGCACAUGGGGCUUACUGUAGUAGACGCCCUUGUCACUAACAUUUGAGAGAUGCCUGGGUUAGCCUUCCUUUCUCUCCCUUCAUCUUGCUUCUUCCUUCCCUUCGUUAUUUCUUCAGCACAGGAAACCCAGGCACUGAGUCCCUCAGAUUGCACUAGUGCCUGCCCCUCUAACUUGUACCCCCCUCUGUUGUUCAUGUCCUAUGUGCCCCCACUCAGGACUAAGUCACCUCCCAGGGGCUGCUGCCAGUCACCCUGACACCUUUCCUUCCUGGGUAGUGUCUGUGGGGUGGACAGGCCAGCCCGUAUAGCCAGAGCCAGCUGGACCCUCAGGGGUGUCUCCCUGCAGGUUGGGGGACAUGGUUCCAACAUGAAUAGGGCCACUUUCCCUGGGGAUACUUCCCUGUUGCUCCCCCAGCCAAGGGAAGCUAUACAGUGAGGAGCAAGCCCUUCAUCAGCACAGCCAUCUGCUGUCUCCUCCAUCUCCUCCUCUGCCUCCUCCUCCCCUCCUGUGACUCCUGAAUUUAAAUCACACAAAGGGAAAAGCCAGGUGCCAACAAAGAUGCUUCAGAAUCUAUUCUGGCCAGAUCUGCAGCUGGAGGGUACACCAUGCCAUCCAGACUUCUCCUCCUUCCCUGACUCUGCCUGGUUCCUCCCACGCAGGGCAGUGCCAGCCUCUGGGAGAGGUGCACCACCUAUUUGCCUUUAAUUCACAGCUUGAUCAAAAGGCUCACCAGAUCAAAGUCACAUUUCUUAUCACUUUUCAAGAUUGAGUGAGGACUUGUGUACCGGGUGGAGCGGCCCUUGGUGUCUGCUCUUUCUGCACAGACAGAGGCUUUUACCACCCUCACUGACCUUCGUCAGGGACAGCCAUGGCUUCUUGGCUCAACGCUCACCUGUGACGUCUGUGGGAAUGACGAUAAGCUUCUCAGUGCCAACCACUUGCUGACCACUGGCUGUGUAUUCUCUUCCCUUCCGUGGUGUUGUUGAUACCCUGGGAACGUGGCCUGGUGACAAGCUUCCAAGCAAGGGUACCAUGGUCACAUUGAGACGCAAAGGCAGCCUCUGGCCUCAGAGGAACAAAACCCACCAAGACAGACUAAGAAAAAAAUACAUAAGAAAGAUGUAAAAAAAACAACAAUCCCUUUAAUAUAGAAAGAGCUCUCAGAAUAAAUAAGAAGAAUCAUUUAUUUGCUUUGGGGCAUCUCUUGAUUUGGGUCAACCAAAAAAGUCUGGCUCCUUUGUUUGGUAAUAACCUCCAGGAGUUAGCUCUUUUCCACUGUGUUUCUGGGGUAUGGCUGACUAACCUAUAUGCCACUCCCAGAGUUCAAGUACAACUUUCCCUGGCUGACAAAAGGCAUCCCUGAGACAAACCAGAGCUACGGGAGUAGACAUCUCGCUGGGGCUCAUAAGCCUGGAAGCUGGUGGUGCUCCUCUGAACCCACUAUACACUGCUGCAACAGACCCCUCCCCCAGAAGCGCCAAGCAGGUCUCCAGGGAGCAGACACAUCCUCUUACUGGGCAGGAGGCUGGGAAGCCCAAGGCAGGGACACCCGGUGAGGGCCUGCCUCUGUCACCCAUGGUGGCAGACAGAGAGCAAGACAGGACAGUAAAGCCGUCAUCUCCCAAGGGACCCCCUCUUGCUAAUAACCUUGAUCCAUCUGUGUGGGAGAGCCCAUUAGGGACACUUCCUCACACUCAGCUUUGGGAUAAAGUUUCUACACAGGCAUUGUGGGGAAACCCAGUACGAGUAUGAACUUUCCUACCAAGGUAAGGGGAGUGGGAGCAAAGCCCACACCGGGGAGCCGAGCUGAGACACUGGGGGAAAGGAGGAGGCGAGCGGGACAGCAUGGCGUAAGGACCCAGGACAGCAUGGCGUAAGGACCCCAGGACAGCAUGGCGUAAGGACCCCAGGACAGCAUGGCGUAAGGACCCAGGACAGCAUGGCGUAAGGACCCAGGACAGCAUGGCAUAAGGACCCCAGGACAGCAUGGCGUAAGGACCCCAGGACAGCAUGGUGUAAGGACCCAUGCUGCUCAGUCUGUCUCACCCUUUGCACCUGCCUGUGUUAAAACCACCAGUUCUCAUUUUUAGGUUAAACAGGUUGAGCUGCAUUUCAGCGAGAGGCCUUGGAUGAGAUCCAGAAAGAGAAACCUGGGCAGAAAACGAGAAAUGAUCCUUCAGAUUAACACGAGGCCACUGGUGUGAACCCCAGUCAUCAGUGUGAACUCUCAGCCAGUGGCGUAAACUCCCACGGUUGGUCACCAGGAAGUUCAAAUGGGUGCCAUUCAGGCCAAACUGCAUCUCCCCAAAGAUGUGGUUAAGUCGCUGGUGUGAAAACAGAGCCGUUGCAGUGUUCUCGAUGAAGAUGGUGUCGUCCUGGAACAGUGGGGUGUCCUAAAUCCAAACUGACCAGGGUCCUCAUGAGAAGAAAGAGGCCAGCAGGGCAGAGAAGCCUCUGUGGGACAGGGGUGAGGGAGGGAUCUGAGGGAGCACGGGACAGGUCCUUCUGAGGACUCCAGACCCAGCCUGGACCUGCCCUGGAGUUUAGGGGGGCUGCGCUGUACGGGUGCAUUGCUGUCCCGUACUCGCUCGGCAUCCCGAGGAAACAAAGUUCAGUGAUACGGGUGAUACUUUAUCUCAGCCCCAUGAAGUGAGUGCAGACACCAUUUUAACAUCUGAAGCUUACAGUGUCUCCUUUGAACCACAGUUCUUACACGCUGGCACAGCAUACGGUCCAGAGAGUGGCUGGCUGCGAGGCGACCUCAUCCAAAGGCAGAAGUCAGGCAGGAGUUCGGCACGCUGAAAAGGACGCCGUGGCACUGUCACAGAAGCUGUGCACGAGACACGGGUCUAAAUGCAGCAGGCACAGUGAAGCAUUAGAUACUAAACACAAUGCGUUCGGCAUGCGCCGUGAGGAAUUGUCCUUCUAAAGACAGAGACAGAAGUAAAACCACGCGUGGGGCAGAGCGCUGGCUCAGUGGGGUGGAGUUUCCCUCUCUUCUUCAGGCUGGCUGUGCGUUUGUGGGCUCAAGCAAGCCCCCUGCCUCAGGGGGGUUGGGACUGCAGGUGCUGCCAUAUCAACACACCCAGGGUACAGACCCCAUUCCAUUACUGGGGAAGUUUCGCUUCUCCACACUGGAGAAUGCGUGCUGAUCUUUGAAACUGAUAUGGAAGAUACUAAUCCGUGCUGACCCUGCCUACCCCAAGCCUGGCAAACUCCCUGUGCAUUUGAAGUCAUAAAGCAAUUUAAAUUUGGUA
Long non-coding RNA from Mesocricetus auratus (golden hamster), 8119 nucleotides. RefSeq lists it as uncharacterized. The record is from RefSeq and is a predicted model, not a curated record. NCBI's taxonomy places the organism in Eukaryota, Metazoa, Chordata, Mammalia, Rodentia, Cricetidae. The transcript has 4 exons.